AUUGAACGCUGGCGGCAGGCCUAACACAUGCAAGUCGAGCGGAUGAAGGGAGCUUGCUCCUGGAUUCAGCGGCGGACGGGUGAGUAAUGCCUAGGAAUCUGCCUGGUAGUGGGGGAUAACGUCCGGAAACGGGCGCUAAUACCGCAUACGUCCUGAGGGAGAAAGUGGGGGAUCUUCGGACCUCACGCUAUCAGAUGAGCCUAGGUCGGAUUAGCUAGUUGGUGGGGUAAAGGCCUACCAAGGCGACGAUCCGUAACUGGUCUGAGAGGAUGAUCAGUCACACUGGAACUGAGACACGGUCCAGACUCCUACGGGAGGCAGCAGUGGGGAAUAUUGGACAAUGGGCGAAAGCCUGAUCCAGCCAUGCCGCGUGUGUGAAGAAGGUCUUCGGAUUGCAAAGCACUUUAAGUUGGGAGGAAGGGCAGUAAGUUAAUACCUUGCUGUUUUGACGUUACCAACAGAAUAGGCACCGGCUAACUUCGUG
RNAcentral lists this ribosomal RNA (484 nucleotides) under uncultured bacterium. Its description in RNAcentral is "partial 16S ribosomal RNA". It matches the Rfam family "Bacterial small subunit ribosomal RNA", at positions 30 to 507 of the family's 1533-position model. The record is from RNAcentral.